AUCAAACUCUCGGGGUGCCUCACAAGUUGAGGCUGAGAAGGCCGCAAAAGCCUACCCGCUGAACUUGACCCGGAUCAUACCGGCGUAAGGAAGAGCUUUUGUAACUUA
This 108-nucleotide non-coding RNA is filed under the name Sulfurovum lithotrophicum. RNAcentral describes it as "TPP riboswitch aptamer (THI element)". It matches the Rfam family "TPP riboswitch aptamer (THI element)". Rfam says of the family: Vitamin B(1) in its active form thiamin pyrophosphate (TPP) is an essential coenzyme that is synthesised by coupling of pyrimidine and thiazole moieties in bacteria. The previously detected thiamin-regulatory element, thi box was extended, resulting in a new, highly conserved RNA secondary structure, the THI element, which is widely distributed in eubacteria and also occurs in some archaea. RNAcentral also lists the same sequence under 1 other name. The record is from Rfam by way of RNAcentral. Lineage: Bacteria; Pseudomonadati; Campylobacterota; Epsilonproteobacteria; Campylobacterales; Sulfurovaceae.